Chiloscyllium plagiosum (whitespotted bambooshark) is the source of this 1688-nucleotide non-coding RNA. NCBI's taxonomy places the organism in Eukaryota, Metazoa, Chordata, Chondrichthyes, Orectolobiformes, Hemiscylliidae. The record is from RefSeq and is a predicted model, not a curated record.
UGCAAGUCUGAGUUGAGCACCAUUUGAAUUGCUAACUGGAGAAGGGUCCCGUGAGGGAGGAGUUUUGUGACCUCUGCUGCUCGAAGUACCUAACCUGGAAAUGCAAAAUCUGAGCAGCUUGCUGUCUAUCUGCUGAAGCUUCUUCAGUAAGCAUCAGUGGCAUACUUAUCUGAUCAUGAAUUGAAGAGAGGUUGUUAGAAUACUAUUUCAUCUGCAAUCUAACAGGAAGCAACAGAUAUAGGCUGAUGCAAAAUGAAAGAAGAUGAAAGCUAUGAACAGUCUGGGGUUUAUAAUCAUCUUGGCUGAUGAACAGCAAGCUGCUGCCUUGGGGAAGUAGGGUGGGGGACAAAUCAAAUGUUUUUAUUUGAAGUUCUAAAGUCAUCUCCUGAGUGAGGCAGUUCCCGAGUUUCGCUUGGAGCUCCACAUAGUCAUCUCGCUGACACCUGACUGCCUUUCAGCCAACCAUAGCAGACGGCUUGUACAAUGAACAACCCUGAGACUUCAGCUUACAACUGCCUGGUUGGGAGUCAGUGCUCGAUAUUCGACAGCCUAGAUCUACUGGAUGUUACUGUCUGACAAUUGUUAACUUCGCCAUAGUCAGAACUAGGUUAGAAUCAAAAAAACUGUGCAGAGCUGGAGGACACUGAAAGAAAGGAACUGUGCAGUACGCUUUUCCUGCAAAACGAAAACCUCAAAGGGUUGUACGCAUUAACUGUUUAGGUUAAGCAAAAAUUGCCACCCUGGGAAGGAAAAAUAGCUGCAUUACUGAGUGAAAGCAAAGGACUUCCUAUGUGACAACAGUGACUUUACUUCAGAAAGUUAGCUUGGGACAUGCUGAGGUUGUGAAAAGGCACUAUAUAAAUGCAAGUACUCUCAUUCAGAACACAGAAGGAAAUUCGAGGAUUAAUCAGCCUGGGUAUAUGGCCUUGACAAUUGUUUAUUCAGCGGGGAUGACAUCAGAUUCUUUGCAGUCCUAUUGAAAUGGAGAACGUCAUUUGCUCUUGAUAUAACCUGAUGAAUUUAAAAAACAACAGGAAAUUCAUUUAAGAAUGAAAUAUCCAAGAUAAUAUAACAAGAAUGUUGAAGCAUUGUAUCAUUAUGAUGUAACUUCAAGCAAAAUGUGUUGUUAGUACAUGAAAGACACGUUUAAGUAAAAUUUGAUACAUUUGAUAAUUCAAAACCAACUGUCUCCCAGGAUUUAAUUCUUUAAUCUCUGAGAUUGUGCAAUUUCACAAGCAAUAUCGAGUCAAAUAGAAAACCAUACCCUACCAGAUGUGUUUUUAAUUUUUGACAGAUUGAGUUGUAUUUACUAAGAUCGUAAAGGUGAGCUUACAACAAUGUAUCCUUUAUUUAUUGUUUGUAUUCACUUUGUAAGAUAAGUUUUUACCAUCUUGUAAUCUCUAUUUACAUUGACACAGUGAUAUUAAUAAGGUAAAAUCAUAGAAAGAUUGUAUCUUCUGUGAGAACCAUCCAGCUCAAAACAUCAUUAAAUCUGCCAUUUUUAUUUUGAAGGACGCAUUGACAUUUAGAAUUGCAUUAGAUGUUUGCUAUCUUAACGAAUGUGUUGGGGGUGAAAUUGGUUCUCAAUAGCAACAUUAAAUGAUGUUGAAUUGUCAGCUUGUUUUUUUUUGCUCAAAAACUGCAUGAAUCCAUGUUAUAUUCUGUAAAUCCCUUUUUAGAAAUAGAAU